CUACCCGAUCCGUACCGGAAACCCGAUCGGUACCACGCAUGCGCGAAUGUUACGUCACUUCCUCUCUUUGCCAACUUUGCGACAGUUACCGACUGCGGGACGUUUAAACAAUGAAUACCUCCGAAACCAACGAAAUUCAUGAUUUUUUCUCCUCAACGGAGAUCUUCCGACGAUUGAACAAAAGCGCCGUAAAAUAAGAAGAGUGGCGCCUAAUUACAGACUUAAAGACAACAGACUCUUCUACACUGGCCCCAGUAUGCAGAGCAUGCGCCUGCUAGUCAUGUCAGAGGAGGAGAAGAAGCCUGUUUUGAUGGAGUGCCACAAUAACCCUGGUACCGGGAACCACAAUGGUGUCAGAGGUACCCGAAACAUGGUUGUUGCUGGCUUUUACUGUCAACAUUGAACCAGGACAUCAGUGAAUGGGGUUUCCUAGACAUAUUGUUUGGAAUACGCCUUUCAGGUCAGAUGUUGUCAUCGCUGCCAGAUGAAUGACCCAAUCAAGACCGUGGCACCAACAUUACAUCCCAUCAAGGUACAUCUUAAAGCUAUUUACAUUUAAUUUUCAAGUUAAUAAGCUUGUCUGCUGCAGGUUAGCUUUAAAUUUUCACUUGAUAAGUUCUGUGACCUGCAGGUAAGAGAACCUUGGGAGUUGCUGGGCAUGGAUUUAAUUGGACCACUCCCAGAAACACGUCUAGGGAACCGAUAUGUCCUGACUAUGACCGUUCUGGGUGAUUGCAGAACCUCUUAAGUCCAAGACUGCUGCUGAGGUCUCUGCAGUCAUGACGUCUAAGUUAUACAUGUUUGGCAUGGUGAGGAAGAUCAUCACUGACCAAGGAAAGGAGUUUGUGAACCAGGUAAAAUUUGUGAAAGUGUUAGUCGUACCUUGACAUUUGAGAUGAUGUAUUUAGACCAAGUCUGCUCAUGCCACUGCAGCUCAACGACAGCAUUUUCAGCAUGCUGAAUAUUAAACAUGCUGUCUCCAGUGCUUACCACCCCCAGACCAACAGGCAGGUUAGCAUUUGGAUAUCUAACCUUGAGUAACUCAUGGGAAAUCAGUCAUGCUUCUUUAUCUAUUCUGCAAUACAA
Molecule: non-coding RNA, 1086 nt
Organism: Nothobranchius furzeri (turquoise killifish)
Lineage: Eukaryota; Metazoa; Chordata; Actinopteri; Cyprinodontiformes; Nothobranchiidae
Source: RefSeq, a predicted model, not a curated record